Molecule: ribosomal RNA, 518 nt
Filed under: Boeremia telephii
Lineage: Eukaryota; Fungi; Ascomycota; Dothideomycetes; Pleosporales; Didymellaceae
Description: eukaryotic LSU rRNA
Rfam family: 5.8S ribosomal RNA (bases 172-325)
Source: RNAcentral
UUCCGUAGGUGAACCUGCGGAAGGAUCAUUACCUAGAGUUGUAGGCUUUGCCUACCAUCUCUUACCCAUGUCUUUUGAGUACCUUCGUUUCCUCGGCGGGUCCGCCCGCCGAUUGGACAAACUUAAACCCUUUGUAAUUGAAAUCAGCGUCUGAAAAAACAUAAUAGUUACAACUUUCAACAACGGAUCUCUUGGUUCUGGCAUCGAUGAAGAACGCAGCGAAAUGCGAUAAGUAGUGUGAAUUGCAGAAUUCAGUGAAUCAUCGAAUCUUUGAACGCACAUUGCGCCCCUUGGUAUUCCAUGGGGCAUGCCUGUUCGAGCGUCAUUUGUACCUUCAAGCUCUGCUUGGUGUUGGGUGUUUGUCUCGCCUUUGCGUGUAGACUCGCCUUAAAACAAUUGGCAGCCGGCGUAUUGAUUUCGGAGCGCAGUACAUCUCGCGCUUUGCACUCAUAACGACGACGUCCAAAAAGUACUUUUUACACUCUUGACCUCGGAUCAGGUAGGGAUACCCGCUGAAC